GUGGGGAAUAUUGGACAAUGGGCGAAAGCCUGAUCCAGCCAUGCCGCGUGUGUGAAGAAGGUCUUCGGAUUGUAAAGCACUUUAAGUUGGGAGGAAGGGCAGUAAGCUAAUACCUUGCUGUUUUGACGUUACCGACAGAAUAAGCACCGGCUAACUUCGUGCCAGCAGCCGCGGUAAUACGAAGGGUGCAAGCGUUAAUCGGAAUUACUGGGCGUAAAGCGCGCGUAGGUGGUUUUGUAAGUUGGAGGUGAAAUCCCCGGGCUCAACCUGGGAACUGCCUCCAAAACUGCAUGACUAGAGUACGGUAGAGGGUAGUGGAAUUUCCUGUGUAGCGGUGAAAUGCGUAGAUAUAGGAAGGAACACCAGUGGCGAAGGCGACUACCUGGACUGAUACUGACACUGAGGUGCGAAAGCGUGGGGAGCAAACAGGAUUAGAUACCCUAGUAGUCC
This 450-nucleotide ribosomal RNA is filed under the name uncultured bacterium. Its description in RNAcentral is "bacterial SSU rRNA". It matches the Rfam family "Bacterial small subunit ribosomal RNA", at positions 354 to 796 of the family's 1533-position model. The record is from RNAcentral.